CAAAUUGCGGUGAAUACGUUCCCGGGUCUUGUACACACCGCCCGUCAAACCAUGAAAGUCACCAACACCCGAAGUCCGACUUUUCGGCCUAAGGUGGGGGGAUGAGUUGGGGUU
Molecule: ribosomal RNA, 114 nt
Filed under: uncultured bacterium
Lineage: Bacteria
Description: partial 16S ribosomal RNA
Rfam family: Bacterial small subunit ribosomal RNA
Source: RNAcentral